UUCCGUAGGUGAACCUGCGGAAGGAUCAUUAAAUAAUCAAUAAUCUUGGCUUGUCCAUUAUUAUCUAUUUACUGUGAACUGUAUUAUUAUUUGACGUUUGAGGGAUGUUCCAAUGUUAUAAGGAUAGACAUUGGAGAUGUUAACCGAGUCAUAAUCAGGUUUAGGCCUGGUAUCCUAUUAUUAUUUACCAAAUGAAUUCAGAAUUAAUAUUGUAACAUAGACCUAAAAAAUCUAUAAAACAACUUUUAACAACGGAUCUCUUGGUUCUCGCAUCGAUGAAGAACGUAGCAAAGUGCGAUAACUAGUGUGAAUUGCAUAUUCAGUGAAUCAUCGAGUCUUUGAACGCAACUUGCGCUCAUUGGUAUUCCAAUGAGCACGCCUGUUUCAGUAUCAAAACAAACCCUCUAUCCAACUUUUGUUGUAUAGGAUUAUUGGGGGCCUCUCGAUCUGUAUAGAUCUUGAAACCCUUGAAAUUUACUAAGGCCUGAACUUGUUUAAUGCCUGAACUUUUUUUUAAUAUAAAGGAAAGCUCUUGUAAUUGACUUUGAUGGGGCCUCCCAAAUAAAUCUUUUUUAAAUUUGAUCUGAAAUCAGGUGGGAUUACCCGCUGAACUUAAGCAUAUCAAUAAGCGGAGGA
RNAcentral lists this ribosomal RNA (636 nucleotides) under Mucor circinelloides. RNAcentral describes it as "eukaryotic LSU rRNA". The stretch from base 241 to 393 matches the Rfam family "5.8S ribosomal RNA". The record is from RNAcentral. Lineage: Eukaryota; Fungi; Mucoromycota; Mucoromycetes; Mucorales; Mucoraceae.